ACUCCUACGGGAGGCAGCAGUGGGGAAUAUUGCACAAUGGGCGCAAGCCUGAUGCAGCCAUGCCGCGUGUAUGAAGAAGGCCUUCGGGUUGUAAAGUACUUUCAGCGGGGAGGAAGGCAAUACGGUUAAUAACCGUGUUGAUUGACGUUACCCGCAGAAGAAGCACCGGCUAACUCCGUGCCAGCAGCCGCGGUAAUACGGAGGGUGCAAGCGUUAAUCGGAAUUACUGGGCGUAAAGCGCACGCAGGCGGUCUGUCAAGUCGGAUGUGAAAUCCCCGGGCUCAACCUGGGAACUGCAUUCGAAACGGGCAGGCUUGAGUCUUGUAGAGGGGGGUAGAAUUCCAGGUGUAGCGGUGAAAUGCGUAGAGAUCUGGAGGAAUACCGGUGGCGAAGGCGGCCCCCUGGACAAAGACUGACGCUCAGGUGCGAAAGCGUGGGGAGCAAACAGGAUUAGAUACCCCAGUAGUCCCAUGA
Molecule: ribosomal RNA, 474 nt
Filed under: uncultured organism
Description: partial 16S ribosomal RNA
Rfam family: Bacterial small subunit ribosomal RNA
Source: RNAcentral